This 253-nucleotide ribosomal RNA is filed under the name uncultured bacterium. Its description in RNAcentral is "partial 16S ribosomal RNA". It matches the Rfam family "Bacterial small subunit ribosomal RNA", at positions 524 to 776 of the family's 1533-position model. The record is from RNAcentral.
UACGGAGGGGGCAAGCGUUAUCCGGAAUUAUUGGGCGUAAAGCGUCCGCAGGUGGCGAUUCAAGUCUGCGGUUAAAGACUGGGGCUUAACCCUGGAAAGGCCGUGGAAACUGAAACGCUAGAGUGCAGUAGGGGUAGAGGGAAUUCCCGGUGUAGCGGUGAAAUGCGUAGAGCUCGGGAAGAACAUCGGUGGCGAAAGCGCUCUGCUGGACUGCAACUGACACUCAGGGACGAAAGCUAGGGGAGCGAAUGGG